AAUCAACGCUGGCGGCAUGCCUAACACAUGCAAGUCGAACGCGAAAGUUCCUUCGGGAAUGAGUAGAGUGGCGUCCGGGUGAGUAACGCGUGGGUAAUCUGCCUUUGGGUGGGGAAUAACCCAGGGAAACUUGGGCUAAUACCGCAUAAUGCAGCGGCUCGACAUCGAGACAGUUGUUAAAGCCUCUCGCAAGAGGGGCGCCUAAAGAGGAGCCUGCGUCUGAUUAGCAGUUGGUGGGGUAAUGGCCUACCAAGGCUACGAUCAGUAGCUGGUCUGAGAGGACGGCCAGCCACAGUGGCACUGAAACACGGGCCAUACUCCUACGGGAGGCAGCAGUGGGGAAUUUUGCGCAAUGGGCGAAAGCCUGACGCAGCAAUGCCGCGUGAAGGAUGAAAUCCCUCGGGAUGUAAACUUCGUAAGUGUGGGAAGAACACAAUGACGGUCCACACGUAAGCCCCGGCUAACUCCGUGCCAGCCGCCGCAGUAA
Molecule: ribosomal RNA, 487 nt
Filed under: uncultured bacterium
Lineage: Bacteria
Description: bacterial SSU rRNA
Rfam family: Bacterial small subunit ribosomal RNA
Source: RNAcentral